AUAAAAUAGCCCAAGGCGAUAAAUACUGCCUGUCUUAGGUUAUUUACUUAGUUUGUUCAUAUUGAUUAAAGAUGAAAACUCUUGAAAGAGUGACUUAUUUUUUAGGUGUUGAUUAAAGAUGAAAACGUUUUAAAGAGUGAGUGAAAGCUUGGAAAAACAUUUGUUGACGUUUGCUUAGAAAUAGUGGUUAUAAGGGCAUUUCAAUUCCCUUGUGGUCAACAUAAGAG
Molecule: long non-coding RNA, 227 nt
Filed under: Capsicum annuum
Lineage: Eukaryota; Viridiplantae; Streptophyta; Magnoliopsida; Solanales; Solanaceae
Description: long non-coding RNA (CANN_LNC020779)
Source: RNAcentral